GACGAACGCUGGCGGCGUGCUUAACACAUGCAAGUCGAACGGAAAGGCCCUGCUUUUGUUGGGUUCUCGAUUGGCGAACGGGUGAGUAUCACGUGAGUAACCUGCCCUUGACUUUGUGGUAUCUUCAGGAAACUGGGGCGAAUAUCGGAUAGGAUCUCCUGCUGCAUGUGGGUCGUUGGAAAGUUUCGGCGGUUGGGGAUGGACUCGCUGCUUAUCAGCUUGUUGGUGGGGUAGUGGCUUACCAAGGCUUUGACGGGUAGCCGGCCUGAGAGGGUGACCGGCCACCAUAGGCCUGAGAUACGGCCCAGACUCCUACGGGAGGCAGAAGUGGGGAAUAUUGCACAAUGGGCGGAAGCGUGAUGCAGCAACGCCGCGUGCGGGAUGACGGCCUUCGGGUUGUAAACAGCUUUCGCAUGUAACGAAGAGUGAGUGACGGUAAUGGGUAAAGAAGCAACGGCUAACUACGUG
RNAcentral lists this ribosomal RNA (468 nucleotides) under uncultured bacterium. RNAcentral's name for it is "partial 16S ribosomal RNA". It matches the Rfam family "Bacterial small subunit ribosomal RNA", at positions 28 to 507 of the family's 1533-position model. The record is from RNAcentral.